UGUGAUGUGAAAUAAGUCAGGCACAGC
RNAcentral lists this non-coding RNA (27 nucleotides) under Rattus norvegicus (Norway rat). Lineage: Eukaryota; Metazoa; Chordata; Mammalia; Rodentia; Muridae. The record is from RNAcentral.